GAUGAACGCUGACAGAAUGCUUAACACAUGCAAGUCGAUGGGGAAGUGGUGCUUGCACCAUGGCAACCAUGGCGGACGGGUGAGUAACGCGUAAGGGACUUACCUGCAGGACUGGGAUAACAGGGGGAAACUCCUGACAAGACCGGAUAAUGUCAUGGAGCUGCAUGGCUUUAUGAUGAAAGGAGACGCCUGCGGAGAGCCUUGCGUCCUAUUAGCUAGUUGGUGAGGUAAUGGCCCACCAAGGCGAAGAUAGGUAGCCGGCCUGAGAGGGUGGACGGCCACAAGGGGACUGAGAUCCGGCCCUUACUCCUACGGGAGGCAGCAGUGGGGAAUAUUGGACAAUGGGGGCAACCCUGAUCCAGCAAUUCUGUGUGCACGAAGAAGGUUUUCGGAUUGUAAAGUGCUUUCAGCAGGGAAGAAGUAAGUGACGGUACCUGCAGAAGAAGCGACGGCUAAAUACGUG
Molecule: ribosomal RNA, 463 nt
Filed under: uncultured bacterium
Lineage: Bacteria
Description: partial 16S ribosomal RNA
Rfam family: Bacterial small subunit ribosomal RNA
Source: RNAcentral